UUGCGCUCAGUUUCUCAGCCAGCGGUCCUGCUUGCAAUGUCAGUGUGCCACAGCAGUCUGUCUAAUGGUGCUCUUUGUUCUGGAAGGACGCAAGCAUUGCUGAGGAGCCAUUUGACCUGCCGCCACACUAAUAUUAUAUUUGGCAAAGCCGAAGGCCUCUGCAAGCAGCCAGUCAUUCCAAGUCUCAACCAAUCCUUCCUCUAGUCA
Dermacentor andersoni is the source of this 207-nucleotide non-coding RNA. Lineage: Eukaryota; Metazoa; Arthropoda; Arachnida; Ixodida; Ixodidae. The record is from RefSeq and is a predicted model, not a curated record.